RNAcentral lists this long non-coding RNA (449 nucleotides) under Bos taurus (domestic cattle). Its description in RNAcentral is "long non-coding RNA NONBTAT009183". Lineage: Eukaryota; Metazoa; Chordata; Mammalia; Artiodactyla; Bovidae. The record is from RNAcentral.
AGUAGGUGAAAUUAGUUCCUCUGCUAUGUACUUUGCUUGCAUAUUACAGUGAAGUUCUUUGAACACAAAGCCCUCAAAGAAAGUUGGGGUUAUCCUCUGCUAAACCUGUGCCAUUGUUUUGGUGCUUUAGGUCUGUUCUGUGCAGUGCCAGUGAGCUGAGAUUGUGUCAGGGCCCUGUGGACAACAAUCUGCAACAGCCAUAGCGUCAGUACUUUUCAGAAGAGGGGAUGUUCCUAAGAAAGGGUUUAAGAUGAUACCAGGACUGUGUUUAUAUCUGUUCUAUUUGCUAAGUGGAAAGUUGCAAGAAAAGAUGUAAGUUUAUGGAGUUAAAAAUUAGGAAAUGGCUGUUAUUUUUAAAACCUUGUCUCUAUUUGCUGUUCCUACUUUGAUCUGGGUUGAGUUUUUUGUUGGCUUUUUUUGCAGAGCUGUGCAUAUCUUAGUUACCCAAC